This 121-nucleotide ribosomal RNA is filed under the name Jaculus jaculus (lesser Egyptian jerboa). The record is from RNAcentral. Lineage: Eukaryota; Metazoa; Chordata; Mammalia; Rodentia; Dipodidae.
AGCUAUGGCCAUACCACCCUGCAUGCACCUGAUCUUGGAAGCUAAGCAGGGUCAGGCUUGGUUAGUACUUGGAUGGGGGACAUAACUGAUGAUGUCCUGGAAAUACAGGACUCUGUCCUCC